GAAAUUAAGUUAUUACUUAUUGUUUUAGGUAAGAAAUUUUGUUAUCUGAGGUUUUAGUUUUUGAAAGAAACGUCUAAUUUUUUAGUAAUGGUGAGUGAAAGAUAUUAUUUUGUGAGAGAGAAUAAGUACUGUAAAGGAAUUGAUGUUGGGAGUUUUUUUUAAGUAAGGAUGAAAAUCUGUACCUUUUGUAUCAUGGCUUUUUUAGUUUUAUUUUUAUAUAAAGAAUACCCGAAAAUGACCGAGCUAUUUCUUGACUUUGCGUCAACGUUGUAGAGUUGUGCUAAGAUUAAGAAAUUGGAGUGAAAUGCUUUUCGCGGUUUUUGAUUGCUGGUUGGUUGAGAGAUAUAUCAAAGUAUAGAUCUAUUUUGAGUUUAAUUUGAUAACUAGUUUAAUGAUGGUUUAGAGUUAUUUUAGUUUAUGUUGAAUUGCAAUAAUAGAAUUCACAAAUGAAAGGAUAAGCUUUUGUUUGAACUUAAGAGGAUGUAUAAGUGGAUUUAAUUGAUUGAUUUAAUGGGCUUAAAAUUGGCCACUUAGUAGUAAGUUUUUUAUAAAAUAUUUUGCUUGCUUAAUUUUGAAGCAUAUGCUAUUCGAAGAUUUUUAUUUAUGUUUCUCUAAGAUAGGGCAAUAUUUCUUAGAAUAUUGUUGGUGGUAUCGACUCUAUGGAUAGAAUUAGAGAAUUCAUUUGUUUCUGGAAAGAUGAGUAUUAAUGUAAUAAUUUGGUUUCAUUUAAAUUAGUUGAUUUAUGGAGGUUAAAUUAUUUGUUUUUAUUUGGAAAUUUUAUGUUGUUAGUAUGAAAUGAAGUAAUUUCGUGCUCAAUGUAAGUUAUAAAUUAAAUUUAGUUAAAAGGAAUUCGGCAAAAUUUAGUUCCGCCUGUUUAUCAAAAACAUCGCUCUCUGUAAGAAUUGUUGAAUAUAGAGAGUCGAGCCUGCCCAGUGACUAAAGUGUUAAACGGCCGCGGUACCCUGACCGUGCAAAGGUAGCAUAAUCAUUUGCCUUUUAAUUGGAGGCUUGUAUGAAUGGUUUGACGAGAACUAAGCUGUCUCUUUCUAAAUUUUUAGAAAUUAAUUUUUAGGUGAAGAAGCUUAAAUUUAAUUGAGGGACAAGAAGACCCUAUUGAGCUUGAGUGAAAUUGUAAAUUUUAAGGAUCUUAUACUGUAUCUGUAUAGUUUUUGUUCCGUAAAUUAACGGAAAUAAAGUUUAUAAUUAAUCUUUAGUUGGGGCGACUUAGGAACAAUAAAAGCUUCCUUGUAUCAUUUAAGGUAUACAGAUUAAACAGGAUCCAGUAGGUUACUGAUCAACGGAAAAAGUUACCAUAGGGAUAACAGCGUAAUCUUUCUGGAGAGUUCUUAUUGAAAGAAGGGUUUGCGACCUCGAUGUUGGACUAAGAUAUCCUGGGGGUGUAGAGGCUUCCAAAGGUUGGUCUGUUCGACCAUUAAAAUCUUACAUGAUCUGAGUUCAGACCGGCGUGAGCCAGGUUGGUUUCUAUCUUCAAUUAAUAAAUAUCGAUUUUUGGUUAGUACGAAAGGAUCACCAUCAAAAUAAAAAAUUUAUUUUAAUGAAUUAAUAUAAUUUGUUAGUAAGUAUUUAAUUAAUAGAGAUAAGC
Molecule: ribosomal RNA, 1603 nt
Filed under: Tectus pyramis
Lineage: Eukaryota; Metazoa; Mollusca; Gastropoda; Trochida; Tegulidae
Description: 16S ribosomal RNA
Rfam family: Archaeal large subunit ribosomal RNA (bases 767-1603)
Source: RNAcentral